Corvus hawaiiensis (hawaiian crow) is the source of this 7907-nucleotide long non-coding RNA. RefSeq lists it as uncharacterized. The transcript has 8 exons. NCBI's taxonomy places the organism in Eukaryota, Metazoa, Chordata, Aves, Passeriformes, Corvidae. The record is from RefSeq and is a predicted model, not a curated record.
AGUAAAUUCACUGGGAGCUUCCUCACCGGCUGCUGAGUUCUGCAGGGAACAAGACAGCUGAACGCUGGUCUUGGCUGGAUGGAGCAACUAAGCAAUGAAAAGCAAUUUGAAGGGACCUAAGAUGUGCAAGUCAGUUGAGUUUACUCUGAAAAAGCUCUUAAAAAAACCUCCACAUCAGAAUAAGCUUGAAGUAAAAAAAUUCCCAUGAUCCAGAGUCCUAUGUAUUGCAUCCUUCUAUCAAUCAAAAAUAUAUGCCUUUCUUAAUGCCUCCUGCUCUGUCUGGUUGUGCUUAAUAAUUCUUCCAAGAAGUAUUUUCAAACCAGCUUUAUCAUCAGACAUGACACUAGAAAAAUGCAUUUGAAAGAGAAAAAGUGUGCUGUAUUUAUAAAAAACAAAUCAUCAUCAUCAGCAUCAUCAUCAUCAGUAUAUUAUUGUCCCAGUAGCUGAAAUAGCUGAAGUAAAGAGCAGCACUGAUUGCAGUUUGGAGUUUGGUUUCCUCUAUCUUUGAAAAAACAAAAGACUGCAAAUCCCCAUAAGUGAGAAGUAUCUUCAUUACAGCAGGGCAUGAAGCUGCAGUUAUGCAAACUGGACUUGCCAUUAACACCUGUGCUGAAUUAUUUCCCACUGAUUGAACAGGUGUUGGGCACUGUGUAACUCAUCAUUGAUUUGGAAUGGAUGAUUUUGCUUCAGGAUACUUCUGGCAAGCUGAACCUCUCUAGCUGUUUCUUUAUGUACAUAAAAAAAAGGGAAUGGACUUGAAACUACAGCCAUCACUGAAUAAUGAGUGCUGGGGAAAAAACCCUGCCUUUCAAUACUGACAAUCAGUAGAUAAAGAAUUCCCUAAUGAGAAGAGAGCUAUCUCAUUUUGCUAUGACUCUCUUGAAUGGUGUGAAAAGAAAGAAUAUUAUUGUCAACGGACAUACCAAGUCAGGAACUAACACUGGAUGAUUUUGUCAGAUACAAGUGCAUAAGUUUGUAGCUUGCUCCAAUUACUGUGUAGCAGACAACAGGUUCAUUUGUAGCUUAGAGUUCGAAUUCUUGAUAACACUCAUGAUAAGUAUCUUAAAAAAAUAAAAAGCUAGCUCAAUACUUGAAAAACAGUAGGUUCCAAGUCACUACAUAUGUUCAGUUAAGAGCAUGGGUUUUGCUCCAAGAGAAACUGACAGCUCUGUUCCUUCAAGUACAGAUCUGCAAAAAAAUUUCUUUAUCCUAAUUAUUAUGUUGCUUAUACAGAGAUGGCAACUUAUAAUAUGCUAUUAAUGAUAAUUAUUAAUAAAGGUGUUGUUUUCUUUGUCUUUAACAAAAAUUGGUUUAGUCAACACUUUCUAAGAGGGAUGGUCUUUCCUAUUGAAAAAACUUUCUAUUGAAACGACUUUUGAGAAGAAUUAGAUUCUCAUCUGCCCGCCAGUCUGUCUACUCUUGAGAAAAUUUCAGUUAGUUUCUCUGAAUAUCUGAAUAUACAGUUUGGCUGAAAAUAUUUCUGUUCUAAAGAGAUGUAGAGAUGGGUCAUGGAAACUUGAGUCUUGAGCCUUGCUAUCCUAUCCUCUGAAACCCUAAUCUUUGGAGAUUAUUUCCCAGAAAGCAUCUCUUGCAGGUGGUCUCAUAAUCGGGCUAGACAUACACAAUGGAUGUUCUAGGUUAACUGGGGAGAUUGAAGGACCUAUAAAGAUGUGAACAAUGUUAAUUGUAAUUUCCUUAAUAUAUAGUUGUCCCAUUACAGAGAGGUUAUAUUUUGAUAGUUUUAUUGGAACCUUAAAAUGAGGUUGGGGGUGGGGGUGCGGACCCCAACAGGGCUAUUUUAUCACAGUCUUCCAAGGAAAGAUACCUCUUUUUACUUGUUUUAUAUUCUAAUGUGUAUUUUGUACAUAUAGCCACUCUUGUAUUUGCAUUAUUGACAUUCCUUGUUCCUUUGGAAUUGGUUUAUGUAAGCUGAUUUGUGUCAGUCUUUACCGGUAUACAGACCUUAAAGGGAGGGUAGAAGUAACUGAAAAUGGAAUUAAGAUCUUGUAAAAGUAUCUUGUGUACUUAUAUGAAAACAGUAGACAGAAAAAUAAAUAAUAAAUAAAAUAUAUAUGUUCUGUAGAAUUGUGUGAUAUAAAUCACAUGAUUUCACCUACAUAAGUUACCUUUGAAAAAUAUAAUUUAUUCCAGUUGAGGGUUUUAUGACGCUAUAUACCCUGAGAUACUCAGAACAGUGCUCUUUGUGGGAAGAUAGUUCUCAUUUGCUGUGUAAGCAGAUGUUGCUGUGUAAGAGUCACCCAACCAAAUCUUUGUUGUUGAAAAGGGAGGUUUAUGAUUCAAGUCUCACUGCAUAACCAGGUGAUAAGUCCUGUCCAAAAGUUAAAUAUGCGAACUUUUCACAGACACAGACCAGAUGCUCCACAGAAGCUCAUAAGUUAGAACAGAAAUAACUGACCACAAUAUUAUCGCUGCAGUAAAUUCGCCCCCCAGACUUUAAUUGCUUGUGACACUAUAGCCCUCAAGCUCUGUCCUGCAGCUUUUUAAAUUUUAAAUUUAAAGAAGGAAAGGUAAGAACGCAGCAGGCUGAAAUUGUUAUGUCUCUGUGCAAAUGAACUAUGUAAUGUUAGAAAAGGCACACUUCCAUAUGAGGGCACGUGAGGCUAUCUUGUGAGUACUCUUGUCUGCAGAGUUUGCUCUGGAAUUUUAAUGUCCAUGCUAAAGCUGUCUUCUGAAGAUUUAAACUGAGAUUGUUUUGUGGCUAAAUUUCAAAGUCUUCUGACAGAAACUGUAGUAGCUGUAGUACAGAAAUGAAAACAUUCUUUCUUGCUUUUGCUAAUGAUCAAACAGAGCUAAAUUGUGAUUGUUAGCUAAUGUGUCACUCCAUGAAAACCACUGGGAGAAAUUCUGUACAGAUUUGCUGAGUGGAUGGCAAUUUGCCCUUUAAUGCUCACAGUGCGUUAGCUUCUAUACAGCGUGUGCAUUUUGUUGUCUUGUGUCUAGAGCAAUAUCGAGGUUGUUGUUUCCUUUUCAAAGCAGCUCCAUAUGAGUCAAAGAGAAACUUACAAAAGAGGUGUAAAGUCUAUUCAGAAGCGCAGUCUUUGUGUAGCAGCUAAUUCCUACACAAACAAAUAUGAAGGAUCAGCAGGUGCUUUAUGCUACAUUGUAGUGUUGUAUGUUAUGAAGCUCAUGGAAGGAAGAUGGGAUUUAACCUUUUAUACUCUCCUGCAUUCCACAUCUAAAUUCAUAUAUUUGUGAUACCAAAUGGAAAAAUCUAGAGGAAACUUCUUAUAAAGGAUGUAUAUAAAUAUGCUUAGGAAAAAAAAAUUAAAAUGGUUUGUCUCCACAGGACAUGUUUACAAUAACAGGCAACAAGGUAAGACCUUUUUUUUCCAUGUUAAGGCUGAUGGAAAUUUGGUGCCAGCCUGCAUGUCCUUCACCUGCUAUCUCUGAGUAGAUGUUGAUUUUUCAAUUUACAGGUCUGUUAAGAAUUCAUGACAAAGUUAAAUUAUACAUGAGAGUGAAAAUUUUCUCCUCCAGAGAGGAGAGUCUUAGUUGUGAUAUGGUUUUUAUAGUUUUUAAUUGCUAAAAACUGUCAGAAAAAAACCAUUUUUCCCCUGCCUAUUCCUCUUUACCUUAUAUUUAAGUUUCUCCACACCAAAUUGUUGUUUCAAUAUUAAACUAAAUGUAGAUUUAAUAUGGGAGGAAAAAUAUUGAUGUCCUUUUGGAACUACUCAUUAGUUCUAAGGCAGGGGAAACUGGAGAGGUAAAAAACUGCCUUCUAUCAGUGUUUAUCACCCAGGGUUAAUUGUGUAAUUCAGUUUUACUAUUCAGUUCAUUAGAACUUUAAGGCCAAAUUAUUAUCUUCACUUCUGCCUCCAAAUUUCAGAUUAUUUCUACCCAAAAUUAAUAACAUUUAUUUUUCAGGUUAAAAACCUCACUAGUAAAGCAUUGGCUCUUACUAAAAUUUUAUUUAUAAAGUGGUUUUCACUUGAAGAAAGAUGUAGAUCUUUGACAAUAGAAAAUAUUGUAACUUGGGUAAAAGCCUUGACAGAAGACAGUACUUUAUACUGCAAUUAUUUUAUUCUAUCAUACCACACAGUGAAUUUUGGGGCAUUAACAAACUGUGAGAAGUAAAUAGAUUUGUUUAAAUCUCAGUAAGUAAGCAAGUUAAAAUAUUUUCUAUUGCUGAAGAGGAAGCACUGACCCCUGUAUUGAGCAAAUACAUUUAAUGGAAGCAAUAAUUGGCAGGUUGAAUACAAUUAUUACAGUUCUGGAUGGUUUUGGUUUCUUCCUGCUUUUGGUUUGUCGAGUCUUUUAUCAUAGGAUGAAUAACCUGGAAUUCUCCAGAGUGGGCAAAUCCUUCAGUAAACUUUUCAUGGAAGAUUCCACAACAUAAGUUCUAGCCUUGCCCUGGAAGAAAUUUCUACAUAUAAAAUUCUACUACUUUAGGAAGAAGUACUGGAUCUGAUGUGUCAGUGUCAAUUCUGGUUAACUUAUUGUAAUUCAGAAAUCCUCUGGGUAUCUCAUGUCCAGAACUGUAAGAUAACUGAGUUUCUCUUGGUAUCCUAAAAACAUAGCUUGUGAAAAAAAAAAUUAUAGUGAGUAUUGAGUGAUAAUAUUCUUGAAAGGUCUAUUACUGUCAAGGGAAUCUAGAAAAUUUUAGGAGUUCUAAAUAUGUUAUUUUUAGCAAAUUUACUCUACUGUACACACUCUUGCAAUACCUAGGAGAACUGUAUAAUUAUACAGCAGGUAUAUAAAAUACAUUUGACAUUUGAUUGUGAAUGAACGUCAAAUUACUGUGCUGAAAAACACAAAAACUGAGUGACUUGCAUCUGGAAAAGCUAAAAAGGGAUGGAAAAUAGAAUUAUGUGAAGACAAUAAAAGGUGUUUAAUUCCGCCCUUUGCCUUGUCACUGUUUGAGUAGCAGUUACAUGGCAGAUAACAUGUGCAGUGUAGCAAGAACACUGAAGAAAGCAAUUACUGGUUUACUGCCUUCCUAGAUGAAGUGCAUGAUUUAUAUUUGUUGGUAAAAUAUAUAUACAUGUUUAGUGGCUUGGGACAAAGAAGAACACCUUGUGCUGUGAAGUUGCUCCUUCCUCUUGGAGUAAGAGAAUGAUGGUGGUAGAUAAUUAAAUUCCUUCAAUGAAGUACCGGACUUCAGAAACCCCUUAUAAACUUAGAUUAAUACAAUUGCUUGACCUAUGUAGAGAAAUCAUAGAAUCAUAGAAUGGUUGGGUUGGAAGGGGCCUUUAAAUGCCAUCUAGUCCAACCCCCUUGCUAUGAGUAGGGACAUCUUCAACUACAUCAGGUUUCUCAGAGCCCCAUCCACUCUGACCUUGGAGGUUUCUAGGGAUGAGUCAUCCAUCACCUUUACCCCCUGUCUUAUUGCAACAAGCCCUGCUACAAAGUCUGUCCCCAUCUUUCCCACCAACUAUCCCGCCAACUUCAGUGAGAAUUUCACAUGGCAAAUCAGGACAACUCUGGCAAAUAUUUCACAAGAAAGAAUAGACAAUGCCAAGUCUAGGGAGAAAGAGAGUCCUACGGGGAAAAGCAGAGUGAUAAAGGAAUUUAUAGGCAGUCAUAGGAAUGAGAUGGUGAAGCAAGCAUAUUAGUAUGAAGUGGAGAAUAGCUGAUGCUGAACUUUUGUAUUGUGCCUUCAGCACCUGUUUGAUACCGAGUUUUACCUCCAGUCAACUGUGCCAGUGUAGUUAAAAAAAAAAAAAUCAGCAUCAGCAGGAGAUAUUCCUCUCAGCAAUCUUAAUGAUGGAAGGGACACAAUUUCUGUUGGUUGUAGUUGUAAGUAUCUGGGUUCUCAAGACGAUCUCUAUAUUUCUAUUAUUAUGUUUUAUUUUGAGUAUUUUUAAGCUAUGGGAGAAAAGGUCCUAAGAGGUCUGUGAACCAAUGUUUUUAGGUAAACUAUUGUAGAGAUAGAGGACUUGUAACUUAAUUUCUGUACUUGCUAAAAGACAAAAAAUUUGGGCUGUUGUAUGCUAAAAAAGGUGGUUUAUGGAAGGUCAUCACAUACAUGGAUUUAUUUUACAAUAGCUUUAUCCUAGCUGAAAGGAUUUCAGCUAUUGUAGUGCAUACAUCUACAUGUAUGUAAAAAUGUCUUAUCUGACAUAGGUUUCAUUUUUGCAGUCUCUUUUGUGUAUGUGUGUGUUGUGUAUGUGUGUGUUGUGUUGAAAUUAUGUGUUUAUUUUUUAUUGUGGGCAUAAAUUAAAAAUGUUUGGACCAUCAAGGGUUAAGUUGUGAAAGCCUUCUAAAGCUGAAAAGAAAAAAAAAGUGCCAGCGUUUGUGAAAGAAUUCAGAUCCGUCCUUCUCUUGUCAUUUGCAAAAUGUUUUCUUGCUUAAGAACUUGAAUGAAAGCAGUGACAAAUUCUUAAUUGGAGCACACAGAUGCUGUUUGUGUAUGUUAUUUUCUUUCUGUCCACAAAAGUCAUCGAAUGCAAAACCAAUUUGCAUGCAGACUUUUUCAUAUGUGCCUGUAUAAAGAUGUGCAUAUGCAAAAUGAGUGCUGAUAAAUGAAUGCUCUAGAACCCAGUUAAUGUAGAAUUUUCCAUUUAAAAAAGUUUUGGUGGCUUUUAUCAGGAAAAAACCGCUUAAAGCUGAGUCAUACAGUUACCUCUCAAGAAAGAAAUAUUUAGCAGAAAUAUCAUUUAACUUCCUAGAAGGGAAGCUCUAUCAUAAUUCCAGUUUAAAAGCUGAGAGCUACAACUCAGCUUAACGCCAGGAAGUCAGCCCCAGCAGAGACGGUGUUUACCGAAAAUUCACGGCUGGACAUGUUCAGUAAUAAAGAACCCCUAAAAGGUUCAGGGCACAGUCCCCGCGCUCUGGACCACUGGAGAGCAGGACACGCUUUUGGCCGCUGUUGAUUUACCAUUGCACGGGGCUACCUUGGUGCGGGGCUGCGGUGAAUCAGGCUCGAAACGCUUGGCAUUAAUAAAGCUGUCAUGUACUCUCUGCAGGUGACAUCAAACCUUAGAAGAUGCUUGGCCAAUGGCAGGUUGCUCUCCCGCGGCAGACACGCAGGGUCUCAUCGGCAGUCAGCCUGCGCGCCGGAGCAGGGCUCCUGUCUGCCCGCCCGCACUGUGGGCACCGCUCCGCCCGGGAUGCUCCCGCCUGGACAGCCUCUCUCCCCCGACACGCCGGACUCAGCUUUAUGGUACAGGCAGGAUUUAUUGAUGAAUGAGGGAGGAAUUUCACCUGGGUUUUAUGAACUGGAAAAGCUGGAGGCAGAGCUCGGUUACACAGUGUUGCAUAAGGUGGUGCAGGGGUCUAAUAUCUGUCACAAUCAAAGGCUAAUGCAAAUUCAGUGGGCACUGUAACAUCAGCACUAAUAAUCAAUGUUAAAUUAAGAUGUAUUAUCUAGGUAGCAUGCAUAAAGAAAAGGGGAGUCCUGAAAUGUCACAGUCAUUUUAAUUAGAGCAGUGUUGAAGCUGGGGAGGGAGGCUUGUCGCUGUAAGGAAACUGUGGUAAAAUCCUGGUCAGUUUUUUCUGGAAAACACACUGUUAAUUACACUGACAUGCUGGAAUGGGACUGUAUAGUUACUCUCCUUGAUGAAAUGAGCUCUGUGUUUCUUAUGAGACAAGAUUUGAAAUAAAGUACAUAAAUAGAGUGGUAAAAACUACUUUAAUAUUUCCUGUCUUCCCUCACCCAUGUAUUUCCCUUGUAGUUAUUUUCAAUCUACAAAUUAAUUAAAAGUGCAGCAGGCACAGUAUAUCUCUGAUAGUUGUUUCUCUCCCACACGCUGCACUUGUUUAGAACAUAAAGGUUGUAGAAGUGAGUAAGAGCAUUUAAUAUAAAAAUGCUUGAAUGCAUAUGUGUGAGGAUUACUGCACACCAGAAAGGGCAAUUGUGCCCUGUGCAAUAUUAAACACCAUCAUUGUUAACUCAGGGCUGGAGGGUGCAAUUUUUAAAUAUAGUUUUUAUGUAUUGCAAACUCUUU